RNAcentral lists this non-coding RNA (28 nucleotides) under Mus musculus (house mouse). The record is from RNAcentral. Lineage: Eukaryota; Metazoa; Chordata; Mammalia; Rodentia; Muridae.
UGGGAGUGUUCUCACCCUUGAGCUCAGU